RNAcentral lists this unclassified non-coding RNA (301 nucleotides) under uncultured fungus. RNAcentral describes it as "sequence contains ITS1". The stretch from base 1 to 100 matches the Rfam family "5.8S ribosomal RNA", at positions 50 to 154 of the family's 154-position model. Lineage: Eukaryota; Fungi. The record is from RNAcentral.
AAAGUGCGAAACGCAAUGCGAUUUGCAUGAACUGUGAGUCAUCUGGUUUUUGAACGCAACUUGCACUCUGUUUCGGCAGAGUAUGUCUGUCUGAGAACCGCAACCACAUGCCACCAAGGCUGGUGGCGAGUUGGGGGCAUGGGCGAUGCCGCAUCCCCUCGAAAGGCGGAGCAGGGCGUCGGCGAGUCAAAACAGGGCGGUGCCCGAUGUUGGUCGCAGAAGGUCUGGCGGCGGACGGGGCGUGGCCCGCGGUCUGCACGGUGUUGGUCUCAGAUCAGGCAGGACUACCCGCUGAACUUAA